This 85-nucleotide transfer RNA is filed under the name Candidatus Nomurabacteria bacterium RIFCSPHIGHO2_01_FULL_39_10. Its description in RNAcentral is "tRNA-Leu". It matches the Rfam family "tRNA". From Rfam's summary of the family: Transfer RNA (tRNA) molecules are approximately 80 nucleotides in length. Their secondary structure includes four short double-helical elements and three loops (D, anti-codon, and T loops). Further hydrogen bonds mediate the characteristic L-shaped molecular structure. tRNAs have two regions of fundamental functional importance: the anti-codon, which is responsible for specific mRNA codon recognition, and the 3' end, to which the tRNAs corresponding amino acid is attached (by aminoacyl-tRNA synthetases). tRNAs cope with the degeneracy of the genetic code in two manners: having more than one tRNA (with a specific anti-codon) for a particular amino acid; and 'wobble' base-pairing, i.e. permitting non-standard base-pairing at the 3rd anti-codon position. Lineage: Bacteria; Candidatus Nomuraibacteriota. The record is from RNAcentral.
GGGCAAGUAACCGAACUGGUAUAGGUGCUGGUCUUAGGAACCAGUGGAGAAAUCCGUGGGGGUUCGAGUCCCCCCUUGCCCACAA